GGAGAGGUGGCAGAGUGGCUGAAUGCGACGGUUUGCUAAACCGUUGAUCGGGGUAUUCCUCGAUCCGCGGGUUCGAAUCCCGCCCUCUCCG
RNAcentral lists this transfer RNA (91 nucleotides) under Phycisphaerae bacterium. RNAcentral's name for it is "tRNA-Ser". It matches the Rfam family "tRNA". Rfam says of the family: Transfer RNA (tRNA) molecules are approximately 80 nucleotides in length. Their secondary structure includes four short double-helical elements and three loops (D, anti-codon, and T loops). The record is from RNAcentral. RNAcentral also lists the same sequence under 1 other name. Lineage: Bacteria; Pseudomonadati; Planctomycetota; Phycisphaerae.